CUGGGAGGACCAUCUCCUAAGGCUAAAUACUCUCUAGUGACCGAUAGUGAACCAGUACCGUGAGGGAAAGGUGAAAAGCACCCCGGAAGGGGAGUGAAAUAGAACCUGAAACCGUGUGCUUACAAGUAGUCAGAGCCCGUUAAUGGGUGAUGGCGUGCCUUUUGUAGAAUGAACCGGCGAGUUACGAUUUGAUGCAAGGUUAAGCAGUAAAUGUGGAGCCGUAGCGAAAGCGAGUCUGAAUAGGGCGUUUAGUAUUUGGUCGUAGACCCGAAACCAGGUGAUCUACCCUUGGUCAGGUUGAAGUUCAGGUAACACUGAAUGGAGGACCGAACCGACUUACGUUGAAAAGUGAGCGGAUGAACUGAGGGUAGCGGAGAAAUUCCAAUCGAACCUGGAGAUAGCUGGUUCUCUCCGAAAUAGCUUUAGGGCUAGCCUCAAGUGAUGAUUAUUGGAGGUAGAGCACUGUUUGGACGAGGGGCCCCUCUCGGGUUACCGAAUUCAGACAAACUCCGAAUGCCAAUUAAUUUAACUUGGGAGUCAGAACAUGGGUGAUAAGGUCCGUGUUCGAAAGGGAAACAGCCCAGACCACCAGCUAAGGUCCCAAAAUAUAUGUUAAGUGGAAAAGGAUGUGGCGUUGCCCAGACAACUAGGAUGUUGGCUUAGAAGCAGCCAUCAUUUAAAGAGUGCGUAAUAGCUCACUAGUCGAGUGACACUGCGCCGAAAAUGUACCGGGGCUAAACAUAUUACCGAAGCUGUGGAUUGUCCUUUGGACAAUGGUAGGAGAGCGUUCUAAGGGCGUUGAAGCAUGAUCGUAAGGACAUGUGGAGCGCUUAGAAGUGAGAAUGCCGGUGUGAGUAGCGAAAGACGGGUGAGAAUCCCGUCCACCGAUUGACUAAGGUUU
Molecule: ribosomal RNA, 901 nt
Filed under: Staphylococcus aureus
Lineage: Bacteria; Bacillati; Bacillota; Bacilli; Caryophanales; Staphylococcaceae
Description: partial 23S ribosomal RNA
Rfam family: Bacterial large subunit ribosomal RNA
Source: RNAcentral